UAGGGAAUCUUCCGCAAUGGACGCAAGUCUGACGGAGCAACGCCGCGUGAGUGACGAAGGAUUUCGGUUCGUAAAACUCUGUUGUUAGAGAAGAACAGCGCAUAGAGUAACUGUUAUGCGUGUGACGGUAUCUAACCAGAAAGCCACGGCUAACUACGUGCCAGCAGCCGCGGUAAUACGUAGGUGGCAAGCGUUGUCCGGAUUUAUUGGGCGUAAAGCGAGCGCAGGCGGUCAAUUAAGUCUGAUGUGAAAGCCCCCGGCUCAACCGGGGAGGGUCAUUGGCAACUGGUUGACUUGAGUGCAGAAGAGGAGAGUGGAAUUCCAUGUGUAGCGGUGAAAUGCGUAGAUAUAUGGAGGAACACCAGUGGCGAAGGCGACUCUCUGGUCUGUAACUGACGCUGAGGCUCGAAAGCGUGGGUAGCAAACAGG
This 429-nucleotide ribosomal RNA is filed under the name Bacteroidota bacterium. RNAcentral describes it as "Bacteroidetes bacterium partial 16S ribosomal RNA". It matches the Rfam family "Bacterial small subunit ribosomal RNA", at positions 355 to 776 of the family's 1533-position model. Lineage: Bacteria; Pseudomonadati; Bacteroidota. The record is from RNAcentral.